RNAcentral lists this transfer RNA (69 nucleotides) under Ictidomys tridecemlineatus (thirteen-lined ground squirrel). Its description in RNAcentral is "Spermophilus tridecemlineatus (thirteen-lined ground squirrel) tRNA". It matches the Rfam family "tRNA". Rfam says of the family: Transfer RNA (tRNA) molecules are approximately 80 nucleotides in length. Their secondary structure includes four short double-helical elements and three loops (D, anti-codon, and T loops). Lineage: Eukaryota; Metazoa; Chordata; Mammalia; Rodentia; Sciuridae. The record is from Rfam by way of RNAcentral.
GGAGUUGUAGCUCAGUAGUAGAGUGCUUGCCUCGGAUGCAUGAGGCCCUGGGUUCGGUCCACAGCACCA